GGGUUGUGAGGUUAAGCGACUAAGCGUACACGGUGGAUGCCCUGGCAGUCAGAGGCGAUGAAGGACGUGCUAAUCUGCGAUAAGCGUCGGUAAGGUGAUAUGAACCGUUAUAACCGGCGAUUUCCGAAUGGGGAAACCCAGUGUGAUUCGUCACACUAUCAUUAACUGAAUCCAUAGGUUAAUGAGGCGAACCGGGGGAACUGAAACAUCUAAGUACCCCGAGGAAAAGAAAUCAACCGAGAUUCCCCCAGUAGCGGCGAGCGAACGGGGAGGAGCCCAGAGCCUGAAUCAGUGUGUGUGUUAGUGGAAGCGUCUGGAAAGGCGCGCGAUACAGGGUGACAGCCCCGUACACAAAAAUGCACAUAUUGUGAGCUCGAUGAGUAGGGCGGGACACGUGGUAUCCUGUCUGAAUAUGGGGGGACCAUCCUCCAAGGCUAAAUACUCCUGACUGACCGAUAGUGAACCAGUACCGUGAGGGAAAGGCGAAAAGAACCCCGGCGAGGGGAGUGAAAAAGAACCUGAAACCGUGUACGUACAAGCAGUGGGAGCACGCUUAGGCGUGUGACUGCGUACCUUUUGUAUAAUGGGUCAGCGACUUAUAUUCUGUAGCAAGGUUAACCGAAUAGGGGAGCCGAAGGGAAACCGAGUCUUAACUGGGCGUUAAGUUGCAGGGUAUAGACCCGAAACCCGGUGAUCUAGCCAUGGGCAGGUUGAAGGUUGGGUAACACUAACUGGAGGACCGAACCGACUAAUGUUGAAAAAUUAGCGGAUGACUUGUGGCUGGGGGUGAAAGGCCAAUCAAACCGGGAGAUAGCUGGUUCUCCCCGAAAGCUAUUUAGGUAGCGCCUCGUGAAUUCAUCUCCGGGGGUAGAGCACUGUUUCGGCAAGGGGGUCAUCCCGACUUACCAACCCGAUGCAAACUGCGAAUACCGGAGAAUGUUAUCACGGGAGACACACGGCGGGUGCUAACGUCCGUCGUGAAGAGGGAAACAACCCAGACCGCCAGCUAAGGUCCCAAAGUCAUGGUUAAGUGGGAAACGAUGUGGGAAGGCCCAGACAGCCAGGAUGUUGGCUUAGAAGCAGCCAUCAUUUAAAGAAAGCGUAAUAGCUCACUGGUCGAGUCGGCCUGCGCGGAAGAUGUAACGGGGCUAAACCAUGCAC
RNAcentral lists this ribosomal RNA (1161 nucleotides) under Escherichia coli. RNAcentral's name for it is "partial 23S ribosomal RNA". It matches the Rfam family "Bacterial large subunit ribosomal RNA", at positions 1 to 1194 of the family's 2925-position model. The record is from RNAcentral. Lineage: Bacteria; Pseudomonadati; Pseudomonadota; Gammaproteobacteria; Enterobacterales; Enterobacteriaceae.